ACAACGGAGAGUUUGAUCCUGGCUCAGGAUGAACGCUGGCGGCGUGCUUAACACAUGCAAGUCGAACGAACCUUCGGGUUAGUGGCGGACGGGUGAGUAACGCGUGAGAAUCUGCCCUCAGGAGGGGGAUAACGGCUGGAAACGGCCGCUAAUACCCCAUAUGCCGAGAGGUGAAAUGAAUUUCGCCUGAGGAUGAGCUCGCGUCUGAUUAGCUAGUUGGUGGGGUAAGAGCCUACCAAGGCGUCGAUCAGUAGCUGGUCUGAGAGGAUGAUCAGCACACUGGGACUGAGACACGGCCCAGACUCCUACGGGAGGCAGCAGUGGGGAAUUUUCCGCAAUGGGCGAAAGCCUGACGGAGCAACGCCGCGUGAGGGAUGAAGGCCUCUGGGCUGUAAACCUCUUUUCUCAAGGAAGAAGAUCUGACGGUACUUGAGGAAUAAGCCACGGCUAAUUCCGUGCCAGCAGCCGCGGUAAUACGGGAGUGGCAAGCGUUAUCCGGAAUUAUUGGGCGUAAAGCGUCCGCAGGCGGCCUCGUAAGUCUGUUGUCAAAGCGUGGAGCUUAACUCCAUUUCGGCAAUGGAAACUGUGAGGCUUGAGUGUGGUAGGGGCAGAGGGAAUUCCCGGUGUAGCGGUGAAAUGCGUAGAUAUCGGGAAGAACACCAGUGGCGAAGGCGCUCUGCUGGGCCAUAACUGACGCUCAUGGACGAAAGCCAGGGGAGCGAAAGGGAUUAGAUACCCCUGUAGUCCUGGCCGUAAACGAUGAACACUAGGUGUCGGGGGAAUCGACCCCCUCGGUGUCGUAGCCAACGCGUUAAGUGUUCCGCCUGGGGAGUACGCACGCAAGUGUGAAACUCAAAGGAAUUGACGGGGGCCCGCACAAGCGGUGGAGUAUGUGGUUUAAUUCGAUGCAACGCGAAGAACCUUACCAGGGUUUGACAUCCUGCGAACCCCUGAGAAAUCGGGGGGUGCCUUCGGGAGCGCAGUGACAGGUGGUGCAUGGCUGUCGUCAGCUCGUGUCGUGAGAUGUUGGGUUAAGUCCCGCAACGAGCGCAACCCACGUCUUUAGUUGCCAGCAUUCAGUUGGGCACUCUAGAGAGACCGCCGGUGAUAAACCGGAGGAAGGUGUGGAUGACGUCAAGUAUCAUGCCCCUUACAUCCUGGGCUACACACGUACUACAAUGCUACGGACAAAGGGCAGCAAACUCGCGAGAGCUAGCAAAUCCCAUAAACCGUGGCUCAGUUCAGAUCGUAGGCUGCAACUCGCUACGUGAAGGAGGAAUCGCUAGUAAUCGCAGGUCAGCAUACUGCGGUGAAUACGUUCCCGGGCCUUGUACACACCGCCCGUCACACCAUGGAAGUUGGCCACGCCCGAAGCCGUUACUCCAACCCUUGUGGAGGAGGACGUCGAAGGUGGGGCUGAUGACUGGGGUGAAGUCGUAACAAGGUAGCCGUACCGGAAGGUGCGGCUGGAUCACCUCCUAA
Molecule: ribosomal RNA, 1482 nt
Organism: Synechococcus sp. GFB01
Lineage: Bacteria; Bacillati; Cyanobacteriota; Cyanophyceae; Synechococcales; Synechococcaceae
Rfam family: Bacterial small subunit ribosomal RNA
Source: Rfam